Molecule: ribosomal RNA, 457 nt
Filed under: uncultured microorganism
Description: bacterial SSU rRNA
Rfam family: Bacterial small subunit ribosomal RNA
Source: RNAcentral
GUGCAGCAGUCGAGAAUAGUCUACAAUGGACGAAAGUCUGAUAGUGCGACGCCGUGUGUGCGAUUAAUUCCUUCGGGAUGUAAAGCACUUUUCUAUGAGAUAAAAGCUCUUUAGGUUAAUAGCUUAUUGAGACGGAUAUUAUUAUAGGAAUAAGCUCCGGCUAACUCCGUGCCAGCAGCCGCGGUAAUACGGAAGGAGCGAGCGUUGUCCGGAUUUACUAGGCGUAAAGGGCUAGUAGGCGACUAAUUAAGUUAUAUGUUAAAUCCACGGCUCAACUGUGGUCCUGCAUGUAAUACUGGUUAGAUAGAGUACUGUAGAGGAAGGCAGAAUUCCUGGAGUAGCGGUGGAAUGCGCAGAUAUCAGGAAGAAUACCAAAAGCGAAGGCAGCCUUCUGGGCAGUUACUGACGCUGAAUAGCGAAGGUGUGGGUAGCGAACAGGAUUAGAUACCCCUGUAGU